RNAcentral lists this ribosomal RNA (253 nucleotides) under uncultured bacterium. Its description in RNAcentral is "partial 16S ribosomal RNA". It matches the Rfam family "Bacterial small subunit ribosomal RNA", at positions 524 to 776 of the family's 1533-position model. The record is from RNAcentral.
UACGGGGGGGGCAAGCGUUGUUCGGAAUUACUGGGCGUAAAGGGCUCGUAGGCGGCCAACUAAGUCAGACGUGAAAUCCCUCGGCUUAACCGGGGAACUGCGUCUGAUACUGGAUGGCUAGAGGUUGGGAGAGGGAUGCGGAAUUCCAGGUGUAGCGGUGAAAUGCGUAGAUAUCAGGAGGAAUACCGAUGGCGAAGGCAGGUCUCUGGGCUGACACUGACGCUCAUGCACGAAAGCGUGGGGAGCAAACAGG